Molecule: long non-coding RNA, 524 nt
Organism: Sinocyclocheilus anshuiensis
Lineage: Eukaryota; Metazoa; Chordata; Actinopteri; Cypriniformes; Cyprinidae
Exons: 3
Source: RefSeq, a predicted model, not a curated record
CUGGAUCUAAAAACUUCGAAUGACAAACAGUUUAUAAUGUACAUACGUAUCUAAGUGUGCUGCUCUCACAUGUGUGUCUUCAGAUGGGAAAGACGACAGGUCUCCACAGAAGGAUGUUGAAAGUCCCUUGGUUCUUCAGUUCCAGCUCCAGUUAAAGUGGGGGGAAAGAAGAGGCCUCCUGCUUUCUGUGACAUAGGCUGUAGAACCUAUUAUGGGAUGAACGAGGACAGACAAAAACCGUCCAUUCUGAAGCACCAAGAUCUAGAUCCAUGAAGAUGAACAUGAUAGCCAUGAUCAGCCAUUUAAACAUGUCCAUUGUAGUAUAAAAUGAAUUCAGACAAGACUGUAGGAAUAACCCACACAUGAUAAGCUUCAGCUCCGGCAUUAGUGUAACUGAUUUGUUUGAGAAAAGAGACUGGUCUGUAUCUCUACAAACAGGUAGCACAGUAGUGCAGUAGAGGAUUUAGCACACCGUAUUUAGCACAGUAGAGAAAUACUCAUUAGUCACUCGAUUGCACUAUUAA